CAAGUCGAACGGCAGCGCGGGGCAACCUGGCGGCGAGUGGCGAACGGGUGAGUAAUAUAUCGGAACGUACCCUGGAGUGGGGGAUAACGUAGCGAAAGUUACGCUAAUACCGCAUACGAUCUAAGGAUGAAAGUGGGGGAUUCGCAAGAACCUCAUGCUCCUGGAGCGGCCGAUAUCUGAUUAGCUAGUUGGUGGGGUAAAGGCCUACCAAGGCAUCGAUCAGUAGCUGGUCUGAGAGGACGACCAGCCACACUGGAACUGAGACACGGUCCAGACUCCUACGGGAGGCAGCAGUGGGGAAUUUUGGACAAUGGGCGAAAGCCUGAUCCAGCAAUGCCGCGUGAGUGAAGAAGGCCUUCGGGUUGUAAAGCUCUUUUGUCAGGGAAGAAACGGUGCGGGCUAAUAUCCUGCACUAAUGACGGUACCUGAAGAAUAAGCACCGGCUAACUACGUGCCAGCAGCCGCGGUAAUACGUAGGGUGCAAGCGUUAAUCGGAAUUACUGGGCGUAAAGCGUGCGCAGGCGGUUUUGUAAGUCUGUCGUGAAAUCCCCGGGCUCAACCUGGGAAUUGCGAUGGAGACUGCAAGGCUAGAAUCUGGCAGAGGGGGGUAGAAUUCCACGUGUAGCAGUGAAAUGCGUAGAGAUGUGGAGGAACACCGAUGGCGAAGGCAGCCCCCUGGGUCAAGAUUGACGCUCAUGCACGAAAGCGUGGGGAGCAAACAGGAUUAGAUACCCUGGUAGUCCACGCCCUAAACGAUGUCUACUAGUUGUCGGGUUUUAAUUAACUUGGUAACGCAGCUAACGCGUGAAGUAGACCGCCUGGGGAGUACGGUCGCAAGAUUAAAACUCAAAGGAAUUGACGGGGACCCGCACAAGCGGUGGAUGAUGUGGAUUAAUUC
This 898-nucleotide ribosomal RNA is filed under the name uncultured Duganella sp. Its description in RNAcentral is "bacterial SSU rRNA". It matches the Rfam family "Bacterial small subunit ribosomal RNA", at positions 58 to 952 of the family's 1533-position model. The record is from RNAcentral. Lineage: Bacteria; Pseudomonadati; Pseudomonadota; Betaproteobacteria; Burkholderiales; Oxalobacteraceae.